AUAAGUAAAUUUUUAUUUCAAAAUUUAACCCUAUUCCGAUGGGCUUUUUAAAAAAAAUGUAUCAUAUGUUAUAGAUUGGUAUCACAAUAAGGAAAUGGAGGGGGUUAACUGUACACCCACACAUUUGUACAGAGUAAAUAAAUACUUGCCGCAACCCUUUAUAUUCAAUACGUGCUGUAUGUCAGUAGAUUUUACCGUAGAUAAAUUGCCAUUUUCAAUUUUAGCUGUAACCCAACGGUAUGGUGAAGACGACAUUAGAUAAUUAUUCUAAUUUAUCUAAGGUGUACACGGCACGCAUUUUAACUAAAUAUACUUAACACACUCUUUAUUAAAUCUGUUCCAAGGGAGAACUCUGUCUUUUGGUUCCAGUAACUGUUUAUCAGCAGGAGAAGAAUGUGUUCUACCGACUGCUUCAACUCCUAUAACUGAGGUUUGUUGCCAAGAUCAGAUGUUAGUGUGUAUAAGGUUUAAUUAUUUGUAUUUGUUUAGUCCUAUAACUGAGGUUUGUUGCCAAGAUCAGAUGUUAGUGUGUAUAGAGGAUCCUGAUGAGGAG
Molecule: long non-coding RNA, 553 nt
Organism: Eurytemora carolleeae
Lineage: Eukaryota; Metazoa; Arthropoda; Copepoda; Calanoida; Temoridae
Exons: 2
Source: RefSeq, a predicted model, not a curated record